UACGGAGGGUGCAAGCGUUAUCCGGAUUUACUGGGUUUAAAGGGUGCGUAGGCGGAUUUGUAAGUCCGAGGUGAAAUCUCCGAGCUUAACUCGGAAACUGCCUUGGAUACUAUAAGUCUUGAAUGACGUUGAGGUUAGCGGAAUAUGUCAUGUAGCGGUGAAAUGCUUAGAUAUGACAUACAACAUCUAUUGCGAAGGCAGCUCACUAGACCUGAAUUGACGCUCAUGGACGAAAGCGUGGGGAGCGAACAGG
RNAcentral lists this ribosomal RNA (253 nucleotides) under uncultured bacterium. RNAcentral's name for it is "partial 16S ribosomal RNA". It matches the Rfam family "Bacterial small subunit ribosomal RNA", at positions 524 to 776 of the family's 1533-position model. The record is from RNAcentral.